CGCUGCGUGCAGUUGAGGCUGCACUUCAGUCAGCUCUCGGAGGCGAGCUGGGAAAUAGUGACUGCUGACCCAUGACAAAGAAACCUCUUUACUAUGUUCUAUUUCCAAGGCCUGAAGAAGUUCUCUGGAACACAUACCGUGUCCUGAGUUGGCUCCUGCCGGUGGGUUCGUGGUCCCAGGAAGGAAGCCCCGGACCUUUGCAGACCCAGGUUAAAGGAGAACCUCUUAUUUGAGAUGUGCCAAGCAUCACAAAUUUGGAUUUAUUUGGGAAAAGUCAAGGGAGCUGGUGGAACCACACAAUGGAUCUUAAAGCUUCUGUUCCACCUGGCAUACGUUAACACAAGACACUGUAAAUCACUUGUCUGCAGACGGGCUUGUAUAAUCCUCCAAAUUAUUUAGAAACUAAAAGUAAGAGAGAAUGACCAGUU
Cercocebus atys (sooty mangabey) is the source of this 428-nucleotide long non-coding RNA. RefSeq lists it as uncharacterized. The record is from RefSeq and is a predicted model, not a curated record. Lineage: Eukaryota; Metazoa; Chordata; Mammalia; Primates; Cercopithecidae. The transcript is spliced from 3 exons.